This is a long non-coding RNA of Amblyraja radiata (thorny skate), 123 nucleotides long. RefSeq lists it as uncharacterized. Lineage: Eukaryota; Metazoa; Chordata; Chondrichthyes; Rajiformes; Rajidae. The transcript is spliced from 3 exons. The record is from RefSeq and is a predicted model, not a curated record.
UCUAACAUCGGUAUUGGGAGGUUGCACGGCAGUCGGGUCACGACCCAUGACCCGUACUGUUGCUACGCUACGCCAAGUGGAGUACAAGCGAUGAACUGGAGGGAAGCACUGACCAUUGUUUCC